Prinia subflava (tawny-flanked prinia) is the source of this 1659-nucleotide long non-coding RNA. RefSeq lists it as uncharacterized. Lineage: Eukaryota; Metazoa; Chordata; Aves; Passeriformes; Cisticolidae. The transcript has 3 exons. The record is from RefSeq and is a predicted model, not a curated record.
GCUGUUGCCUCACGGUGCUAUACAGAUCAAAAGCAGCUAGUUAAGUAUGCCUACAGAUUUUCAGACCUGCAUCUACAUCUCUCUGUGUAUUUGGGUGACACACGGCAUGCCUGAUGCUGAUCUCGAUUGCACCUUUUCUACAUUACCGUCAAACAAACAAUGAGGGAGCCGUGAGUGGAAUCCUCUGAGGUAUAGCUGUCUGCAUGCCAUCUCCCUGCUUGAGUUCUUCAGGUCGGGAAAAGCCUGCGAGAGCAAUCCUCCGCAGGAGCUUUUAUUUUAAAUUAAAGAUGCUACAAGACUAUUAUGUCAUGAGGCAUCCUGAAAAACACCCUUUCAGGAGAUCAGAUUGACACUUCCACCCUGCAAGUGCACAGUGCGACAGGCACACACAUCGCUAAUGUUUGUGUAGGCGCUGUGUAAGGUCCUCGAGGGCAGGCAGGGAGGCACCGCUUUGUUCUCUCACCUGCGCUGAAUAAAGAGAGUUGGUGAGCUGAUAAAUCCUGCCGCGGACCUUUGUUAAGCUUGGAAGAAAAACAACGCCAUGUGUUACAAAGCCCUACCCCCAUAGGUGAUAAGAAAAACUUUGUUUUGUUUUAAAUAGGGGUUGCUUUGUGCAUGGGCAUCUGCAUAAGGGGCUAGGCAGUGAUGAGGAGAGCCAGACGAGGAGAUUGACAGCUGUGUUUAGAGACCUGAAUGUCAGCGUCUUACUCUGGGCUUUUCUCCUGAGCCAUCCUCAGCAUCCAUCCAACACAGUCUAACUAAAGUGCCCUUGCUGGAAAAUUUAAGGCUGAUUUUUCUUUAUUGCCUGGGUGCCCAGCGGUCAAAGCAGAGUGCACUUCACUUAACAUCUCUAGGCAUGGAACCUGUAAAGAAACCUGGCCUUCUGUUUGCCCUCCACAGAAUCCACUUUUGGAAACAUAGGCUGUGUUCUGGAAUACCCUCUCUGGAGUUUGCUCUGAGUCCUGCAUGGAGCCCUGAAGUUGUGAGAAAACUGACAAGACUGCAUGUUCUUGCAUUUGGCCUCCAUAGCUGGAUCUUGGACACGAGGUGUAUCCCUGCGUCUGGAAUCCUGGUGCACCUUUUCCUACUGAAAGAGGAACUACAGGAUUGCUGCUUUGGGAAAGCCACCACUGCAAGGAGAAGGGAAGACCCCGAGGAGUAGCAAUGCAGAUGAUGGAAACAGAUCCACUUUACCGAGAAGAUGGAUGGAUAGCUACUAAUCUGGAUUUGACACCUGACUUAAUGGAGUGCCUGAACAGCUUGGACCAUCUUGGUGGCCUUCCAGAGGAAUCUCAACAAACCGUGUGGGCAUUGCCUGAAUGUUCUGGGCCUCUGUUGUGAGCACAAUGGAAGACAACAACCCUUUCCUAUCUCACAGAGACAUUGCAUUUGCAUUUGUAAUGUUUUCUACAAUGACAGAUAAGUAAUUAUCUAAGUAAGGGAAACUAGUUCCUAACAUAAGUGCAUGAAUCUUCUCAUUUGCUUUGACUCAUCUCUGGCUGGACUAACUCCAAUCACCAAUUGUAAUUCCUCCUCUCCUUAUAAAAUCAAUACUCCACUAAAUCAUUUCCUUUUUCAACUCCAAAGAGGAACAUUUGAUUGCACAAUGAUAUCUAUCUCAAAUCCAGGCAAUCUGUCACCCUGAAUGCCCAUAAAUUU